GGGCGGUCACUGUGAAAGUCAUAGUUAAAGGGGCAGUCACUGUGAAAGUCACAGUUAAAGGGGUGGCCACUGUGAAAGUCACAGGAAAAGGGGUGGUCACUGUGAAAGUCACAGUUAAAAGGGCGGUGAAAGUGAAAGUCACGGUUAAAGGUCACAGUUAAAGGGGCAGUC
Bufo bufo (common toad) is the source of this 171-nucleotide long non-coding RNA. RefSeq lists it as uncharacterized. The record is from RefSeq and is a predicted model, not a curated record. The transcript is spliced from 3 exons. NCBI's taxonomy places the organism in Eukaryota, Metazoa, Chordata, Amphibia, Anura, Bufonidae.